GACGAACGCUGGCGGCGUGCUUAACACAUGCAAGUCGAACGGAGUGGCGAACGGGUGAGUAACACGUGGGUGAUCUGCCUUGCACUUCGGGAUAAGCUUGGGAAACUGGGUCUAAUACCGGAUAGUGCAAGAUGAGCUCGCGGCCUCUCAGCUUGUUGGUGGGGUAAUGGCCUACCAAGGCGUCGACGGGUAGCCUGCCUGAGAGGGUGUACGGGCACAUUGGGACUGACAUACGGCCCAGAGUCCUACGGGAGGCAGCGGUGGGGGAUAUUGCACAAUGGGCGGAAGCCUGAUGCAGCGACGCCGCGUGGGGGAUGGUGGCCUUCGGGUUGUAUGCUCCUUUGGACACGAACGCGGUACCUGUAUAAGAAGCACCGGCUAACUACGUGCCAGCAGCCGCGGUAAUAC
Molecule: ribosomal RNA, 408 nt
Filed under: uncultured bacterium
Lineage: Bacteria
Description: partial 16S ribosomal RNA
Rfam family: Bacterial small subunit ribosomal RNA
Source: RNAcentral